This 611-nucleotide ribosomal RNA is filed under the name uncultured bacterium. RNAcentral's name for it is "bacterial SSU rRNA". It matches the Rfam family "Bacterial small subunit ribosomal RNA", at positions 338 to 946 of the family's 1533-position model. The record is from RNAcentral.
CCUACGGGAGGCAGCAGUAAGGAAUAUUGGUCAAUGGACGAAAGUCUGAACCAGCCAUGCCGCGUGAAGGAUGAAGGCCCUCUGGGUUGUAAACUUCUUUUAUCUGGGACGAAAAAAGCUCAUUCUUGAGCACUUGACGGUACCAGAGGAAUAAGCACCGGCUAACUCCGUGCCAGCAGCCGCGGUAAUACGGAGGGUGCAAGCGCUAUCCGGAUUCACUGGGUUUAAAGGGUGCGUAGGUGGGUCUGUAAGUCAGUGGUGAAAUCUCCGAGCUUAACUCGGAAACUGCCAUUGAUACUAUAGGUCUUGAAUCAUCUGGAGGUAAGCGGAAUAUGUCAUGUAGCGGUGAAAUGCUUAGAUAUGACAUAGAACACCAAUUGCGAAGGCAGCUUACUACGGGUGUAUUGACACUGAGGCACGAAAGCGUGGGGAUCAAACAGGAUUAGAUACCCUGGUAGUCCACGCCCUAAACGAUGGAUACUCGACAUCAGCGAUACACUGUUGGUGUCUGAGCGAAAGCAUUAAGUAUCCCACCUGGGAAGUACGACCGCAAGGUUGAAACUUAAAGAUAGUAGACGNGAGAGAGCGACGACGACGACGAGGAGGAGGAG